Molecule: ribosomal RNA, 468 nt
Filed under: uncultured bacterium
Lineage: Bacteria
Description: partial 16S ribosomal RNA
Rfam family: Bacterial small subunit ribosomal RNA
Source: RNAcentral
GACGAACGCUGGCGGCGUGCUUAACACAUGCAAGUCGAACGGAAAGGCCCUGCUUUUGUGGGGUGCUCGAGUGGCGAACGGGUGAGUAACACGUGAGUAACCUGCCCUUGACUUUGGGAUAACUUCAGGAAACUGGGGCUAAUAACGGAUAGGAGCUCCUGCUGCAUGGUGGGGGUUGGAAAGUUUCGGCGGUUGGGGAUGGACUCGCGGCUUAUCAGCUUGUUGGUGGGGUAGUGGCUUACCAAGGCUUUGAAGGGUAGCCGGCCGGAGAGGGUGACCGGCCACAUUGGGACUGAGAUACGGCCCAGACUCCUACGGUAGGCAGCAGUGGGGAAUAUUGCACAAUGGGCGGAAGCCUGAUGCAGCAACGCCGCGUGCGGGAUGACGGCCUUCGGGUUGUAAACCGCUUUCGCCUGUGACGAAGCGUGAGUGACGGUAAUGGGUAAAGAAGCACCGGCUAACUACGUG